Long non-coding RNA from Haliotis rubra (blacklip abalone), 1736 nucleotides. RefSeq lists it as uncharacterized. The transcript is spliced from 2 exons. NCBI's taxonomy places the organism in Eukaryota, Metazoa, Mollusca, Gastropoda, Lepetellida, Haliotidae. The record is from RefSeq and is a predicted model, not a curated record.
CAAGAAAGUGUUUCACUUUCUCUCAUGAACUCACUUGAAGCCUUCAUUAUGUUCAUAUUUUGACAGUUUCCAAGACAACAAGACCAUCCAACACUGUAUUGCCAGCUACUGUAGUACAACUGAACUCACUCACUCACCCAAGCAGCCGUUGUAGCCAUCCAUUCAUAGAAGAAAGUGAGAAAAAUAUCUUAAUCUGUGUAUAUAUUUUUACAAUCUCACUAAAGGGGGAUGAUUCACUUGGACAGCGGCACCUAUCUAUGUGUGGAUCUGAGACUGCUUCAAAGGAAGGUCAAGUGAAGUGAACCCUGAGUGUACUCUGACCUGCAAGGUCCUUGAGACAAUCACAUAUCAGCUUUCUAUAAUAUAAACAGAUUCACCUUCAUAUCUGUACCACCAUGCUUUGGAUUCAGAUCUCCAACAGUAUAUUGGAUUUCAACAUACAGAAAUCAGAUAUGCUUGUCUGGUUCACUUUCAGGUAGUGAGACAUGAGAGACUGUCAGAGUAUUACCUGAUGCGAAAGUGCAUCAGUUAUAUGUUGGUGUUGUGGGAUCUUCACAAGAACAGGUAUCAGGCCUAUGUUGGUGUCAUGAGAUCUUCACUAGAACAGGUGUCAGGCCUAUGUUGGUGUCGUGAGAUCUUCACUAGAAAAGGUGUCAGGCCUAGGUUGGUGUUAUGGCAUCUUCACUAUGAACAGGUAUCAGGCCUAUGUUGGUGUGUGGGAUCUUCACUAGAACAGGUGUCAGGCCUAGGUUGGUGUCAUGGCAUCUUCACUAGAACAGGUUUCAGGCCUAUGUUGGUGUUGUGGGAUCUUCACUAGAACAGGUGUCAGGCCUAUGUUGGUGUUGUGGGAUCUUCACUAAAACAGGUGUCAGGCCUAUGUUGGUGUGGUGGGAUCUUCACUAGAACAGGUGUCAGGCCUAUGUUGCUGUCAUGAGAUCUUCACUUGAACAGGUGUCAGGCCUAGGUUGGUGUCGUGAGAUCUUACUAGAACAGGUGUCGUGCCGAUGUUGGUGUUGUGAGAUCUUCACUAGAACAGGUGUCAGGCCUAGGUUGGUGUCGUGAGAUCUUCACUAGAACAGGUGUCAGGCCUAGGUUGGUGUUGUGAGAUCUUCACUAGAACAGGUGUUAGGCCUAGGUUGGUGUUGUGAGAUCUUCACUAGAACAGGUGUCAUGCCUAGGUUGGUGUUGUGAGAUCUUCACUUGAACAGGUGUCAGGCCUAUGUUGGUGUUGUGAGAUCUUCACUAGAACAGGUGUCAGGCCUAGGUUGGUGUUGUGAGAUCUUCACUAGAACAGGUGUCAGGCCUAGGUUGGUGUUGUGAGAUCUUCACUAGAACAGGUGUCAGGCCUAGGUUGGUGUUGUGAGAUCUUCACUAGAACAGGUGUCACAUAUAAGUUACAGAUCUAAGUUUAAUAUGAUUGAACUUUCAAGAUGAGUUCAUUAAAUAUCAAGCCUGAAAAGUAACUUCAUAACACAGUGUUAUUCAAAAUUGCCAGUGUGAAAUAGGUCCUGAGACAGCUAAGAUAAGACUCUGAGUUGUAGGAGGCAAUAUAUUUAGUUUCUCUUGUUACUUCAUGUUGUUUUUUCCUUUCAUAUUCCAUGUUUCACCAAAUUGAGUGCAAUCAUUUGUACAAAUUACUUUCAAGAGACCUGACCUCAUGUUAAAGUAUUUUCUUAAUGUUUUAUUUGUUCUUCCAUUGUUUUCAGUGUUUUUCUAAAUAAAGAUGUGAAAAAUCA